This 382-nucleotide ribosomal RNA is filed under the name uncultured marine Chaetocerotaceae. Its description in RNAcentral is "SSU rRNA". It matches the Rfam family "Eukaryotic small subunit ribosomal RNA", at positions 587 to 972 of the family's 1831-position model. The record is from RNAcentral. Lineage: Eukaryota; Bacillariophyta; Thalassiosirophyceae; Chaetocerotales; Chaetocerotaceae.
AGCUUCAGUAGCGUAUAUUAAAGUUGUUGCAGUUAAAAAGCUCGUAGUCGCAUUUCUGGCGAGAGGAUCCGGUCCGACCUUUUGGUGGGUUCUUGGGUCUCUUUCGCCAUCCUUGAGUGGUCCGUUCUGGCAUUAGGUUGUCGGAGCGUCAGCCGCUCAUCGUUUACUGUGAGAAAAUUAGAGUGUUCAAAGCAGGCUUAUGCCGUUGAAUAUAUUAGCAUGGAAUAAUAAGAUAGGACCUCGGUACUAUUUUGUUGGUUUGCGCUCCAAGGUAAUGAUGAACAGGGACAGUUGGGGGUAUUUGUAUUUCGUUGUCAGAGGUGAAAUUCUUAGAUUUACGAAAGACAAACUGCUGCGAAAGCAUUUACCAAGGAUGUUUUCA